UGUUGUUAAGUUCCCUUCUUCAGUCUUCUCUUAAGCUGAAAGUCCAACGAUUUCAAGAUUCAAUUAAUUAGAGACAUGGAGAGCCAAAGUACAAGAUACCUGUACGGAGAACUUGGGAGGCAUUUUUAUAAGCUCAUUGUCAAGUGAAUGUUAAAGUCCCCAUUCACUGAGAAGCAAAGGGUGAAGAAGUGAGACCCUACAUGGCUUUUUAGUGCAUUGAUGGAGCAGAGACACGUCUAUGAACAACUGCCUAUGCAAACUGAUUACUCGGCAGUAUAAUUUAUCAGUUUGUAUGAGUAAGUGAGUGCUUCUCACUAUGGAUUUAGCUUGCACUUCAAUUUAGGUAAGUAUACUGCUGCAGCAGCCUUGAAACCAGUGCUCUCUGAUUGUACCAAUUAGUAAAUCCUGAACUUUACCACCAGAAAAAGACAUAGCUCCACAUUUAUGAAUGCCUGGCUUUUGAGAAUGAGAGUAAUUAUGUCACCAAAACUGCCAUUGAUUUUUCAGAUAGACAUCUCAAUAAUUUUGCAAGAGUAAAAGCCUUUUUCUAAAGCACAUGGGUGUUUUUUUAUGGUACGAAUAAUACAUAGGGAUGAAUACAGUGAUUUGAUAUGUGAGAACAUUUAAGGGAGGAGGUAUUUUAUUUGAACAGAAUUUAGAUGUGCUUCCGGGCUGAGUCCUUGAUUAUAAAUUUCAUGUUGGAGGGUUUUGACUGUGUGAGAACUUCUGACAUCUAAUUUUUUUGGAGGAGGGGAUUGAGAAUUUACAAAAUAAUAAAAUAGCAUAUGCUGUUGUUAAAACAGAUUGUAAUAUUAUCAUAAAAUAAUAGAUGAAAAUACAUUUAAUUUUCUAUGUUUAGUUUAAAAAUUCACAGCUGGUUUACGCUCCUCCUUA
Long non-coding RNA from Gorilla gorilla gorilla (western lowland gorilla), 894 nucleotides. RefSeq lists it as uncharacterized. The transcript is spliced from 3 exons. The record is from RefSeq and is a predicted model, not a curated record. NCBI's taxonomy places the organism in Eukaryota, Metazoa, Chordata, Mammalia, Primates, Hominidae.